AAGAUUUUAAGUUAAAAUAAACUAAUAGCCUUCAAAGCUUUAAAUAAAAAUUAAAUUUUAAAUCUUA
RNAcentral lists this transfer RNA (67 nucleotides) under Fenusa (Kaliofenusa) sp. 2 GYN-2022b. Its description in RNAcentral is "tRNA-Trp". It matches the Rfam family "tRNA". Rfam says of the family: Transfer RNA (tRNA) molecules are approximately 80 nucleotides in length. Their secondary structure includes four short double-helical elements and three loops (D, anti-codon, and T loops). Lineage: Eukaryota; Metazoa; Arthropoda; Insecta; Hymenoptera; Tenthredinidae. The record is from RNAcentral.